Molecule: ribosomal RNA, 292 nt
Filed under: uncultured bacterium
Lineage: Bacteria
Description: partial 16S ribosomal RNA
Rfam family: Bacterial small subunit ribosomal RNA
Source: RNAcentral
GUGUCAGCAGCCGCGGUAAGACGUACCGUGCGAACGUUAUUCGGAAUCACUGGGCUUAAAGGGCGCGUAGGCGGUCCGGCGCGUCCGGGGUGAAAGCCUCCAGCUUAACUGGAGAAGUGCCCCGGAUACGGCCGGACUCGAGUGGGGUAGGGGCGUGUGGAACUUCCGGUGGAGCGGUGAAAUGCGUAGAUAUCGGAAGGAACGCCGGUGGCGAAAGCGGCACGCUGGACCCCUUCUGACGCUGAGGCGCGAAAGCCAGGGGAGCGAACGGGAUUAGAUACCCCGGUAGUCC